AUGGCUACACAAACCGUUGAAGAUAGUUCUAAACCUAGGCCAAAACGAACUGGUGCAGGUAGUUUACUAAAACCCUUGAAUUCAGAAUAUGGGAAAGUCGCCCCGGGUUGGGGGACUACUCUGGGUUUAUUUGUUAACAUUGCCUUUACGUAA
RNAcentral lists this ribosomal RNA (153 nucleotides) under Triticum aestivum (bread wheat). Its description in RNAcentral is "partial small subunit ribosomal RNA". The record is from RNAcentral. Lineage: Eukaryota; Viridiplantae; Streptophyta; Magnoliopsida; Poales; Poaceae.